RNAcentral lists this ribosomal RNA (253 nucleotides) under uncultured bacterium. Its description in RNAcentral is "partial 16S ribosomal RNA". It matches the Rfam family "Bacterial small subunit ribosomal RNA", at positions 524 to 776 of the family's 1533-position model. The record is from RNAcentral.
UACGGAGGGGGCUAGCGUUGUUCGGAAUUACUGGGCGUAAAGCGCACGUAGGCGGCCCAGUCAGUUGGGGGUGAAAUCCCGGGGCUCAACCCCGGAACUGCCUCCAAAACUGCUGGUCUGGAGGUCGAGAGAGGCGAGUGGAAUUCCGAGUGUAGAGGUGAAAUUCGUAGAUAUUCGGAGGAACACCAGUGGCGAAGGCGGCUCGCUGGCUCGAUACUGACGCUGAGGUGCGAAAGCGUGGGGAGCAAACAGG